GAUGAACGCUGGCGGCGUGCCUAAUACAUGCAAGUCGAGCGAACGGACGAUAAGCUUGCUUCUCUGAUGUUAGCGGCGGACGGGUGAGUAACACGUGGAUAACCUACCUAUAAGACUGGGAUAACUUCGGGAAACCGGAUCUAAUACCGUAUAAUAUUUUGAACCGCAUGGUUCAAAAGUGAAAGACGGUCUUGCUGUCACUUAUAGAUGGAUCCGCGCUGCAUUAGCUAGUUGGUAAGGUAACGGCUUACCAAGGCAACGAUGCAUAGCCGACCUGAGAGGGUGAUAGGCCACACUGGAACUGAGACACGGUCAAGACUCCUACGGGAGGCAGCAGAAGGGAAUGUUACGCAAUGGGCGAAAGCCUGACGGAGCAACGCCGCGUGAGUGAUGAAGGUCUUCGGAUCGUAAAACUCUGUUAUUAGGGAAGAACAUAUGUGUAAGUAAAUGUGCACAUAUUGACGGUACCUAAUCAGAAAGCAACGGCUAACUACGUG
Molecule: ribosomal RNA, 497 nt
Filed under: uncultured bacterium
Lineage: Bacteria
Description: partial 16S ribosomal RNA
Rfam family: Bacterial small subunit ribosomal RNA
Source: RNAcentral